RNAcentral lists this ribosomal RNA (253 nucleotides) under uncultured bacterium. Its description in RNAcentral is "partial 16S ribosomal RNA". It matches the Rfam family "Bacterial small subunit ribosomal RNA", at positions 524 to 776 of the family's 1533-position model. The record is from RNAcentral.
UACAGAGGGGGCAAGCGUUGUUCGGAAUUACUGGGCGUAAAGGGCGCGUAGGUGGCCCGGUCAGUUUGUGGUGAAAGCGCGGGGCUCAACUCCGCGUCGGCCAUGAAUACUGCUGGGCUGGAGCACUGUAGAGGCAGGCGGAAUUCCGGGUGUAGCGGUGGAAUGCGUAGAGAUCCGGAAGAACACCGGUGGCGAAGGCGGCCUGCUGGGCAGUAGCUGACACUGAGGCGCGACAGCGUGGGGAGCAAACAGG